AGAAGAAGCCCUCCCUUCACGAGAUCAAAACCCUUGCUGAAAUUCUUGAAAGUUUCGACAUGGUUUUGCUUGUUAGAAAUGAUCUGGAAAUGAGACAAGGGAAGAUUGCUGCCCGACGCAGUGAGACUAAUGAGUUUGAUGGACAUCAUGAGCAAGAGAACAGAGAAACUAGCUACUCAAAAGCAUAAAAGACAGCCAUGCAAUGGUGAUUUGUAUAAAGAGCUCCUUCGAAGGUCUGUGCAAGCUUUCAGCAGGUACCUUUGGUUAUUCUCAUAAAUGAAUUAUCUAUCUCAUAGAAAGCUCCUUGAUAGGGAUUCAAAAGAAGUGUGCAGGUACCUUUUGGUACUCUUACAAAUUUAUCAUCAUAUCUCGUAUACCUUGCUUUUGCACCUACAAAAUCAAGAAUUGUCAUAUUAGAACUUCAUAUACUGGUUCUAGAUAUUUUGAUUUUAUCAUGUACAGCUUCUUUUGUCGACAUGAGGGAGAAUCUAGGACAAGAUUGUAACCAUAAUCAAAAGGGAGAUCUUCUGUGGUUACAAGUAUAUUACAG
This is a long non-coding RNA of Musa acuminata AAA Group (dessert banana), 550 nucleotides long. RefSeq lists it as uncharacterized. The record is from RefSeq and is a predicted model, not a curated record. NCBI's taxonomy places the organism in Eukaryota, Viridiplantae, Streptophyta, Magnoliopsida, Zingiberales, Musaceae. The transcript is spliced from 4 exons.